This 256-nucleotide ribosomal RNA is filed under the name uncultured bacterium. RNAcentral describes it as "partial 16S ribosomal RNA". It matches the Rfam family "Bacterial small subunit ribosomal RNA", at positions 29 to 313 of the family's 1533-position model. The record is from RNAcentral.
AGCGAACGCUGGCGGCAGGCUUAACACAUGCAAGUCGAACGCCCGGGCAACCGGGAGUGGCAGACGGGUGAGUAACACGUGGGAACAUGCCCUUCGGUUCGGAAUAACUCGGGGAAACUCGUGCUAAUACCGGAUACGUCCGUAAGGAGAAAGAUUUAUCGCCGAAGGAUUGGCCCGCGUCCGAUUAGCUAGUUGGUGGGGUAAAGACCCACCAAGGCGACGAUCGGUAGCUGGUCUGAGAGGAUGACAGCCACAC